GACAGAGGGUGCAAACGUUGCUCGGAAUUACUGGGCGUAAAGCGCGUGUAGGUGGAUUGGUGUGUCAGAUGUGAAAGCCCUGGGCUCAACCCAGGAAUUGCACCUGAAACUACCAGUCUUGAGUGGUGGAGAGGGAAGUGGAAUUCCUGGUGUAGAGGUGAAAUUCGUAGAUAUCUGGAGGAACACCGGUGGCGAAGGCGGCGUUCUGGACUGUUUCUGACACUGAGGAACGAAAGCCAGGGGAGCAAACGGG
This 253-nucleotide ribosomal RNA is filed under the name uncultured bacterium. RNAcentral's name for it is "partial 16S ribosomal RNA". It matches the Rfam family "Bacterial small subunit ribosomal RNA", at positions 524 to 776 of the family's 1533-position model. The record is from RNAcentral.